UNCAMGCUCCAAUAGCGUAUAUUANAGUUGUUGUGGUUAAVAAGCUCGUAGUUGAACCUUGGGCCUGGCUGGCCGGUCCCCCUCACCGGGCGCACUGAUCCAGCCGGGCCUUUCCCUCUACGGAACCCCAUGGCCUUCACUGGUCGUGGCGGGGAAGUAGGACUUUUACUUUGAAAAAAUUAGAGUGCUCCAGGCAGGCCUAUGCKSGAAUACAUUAGCAUGGAAUAAUGGAAUAGGACGCGCGGUUCUAUUUUGUUGGUUUCUAGGACCGCCGUAAUGAUUAAUAGGGACAGUCGGGGGCAUCAGUAUUCAAUUGUCAGAGGUGAAAUUCUUGGAUCUAUUGAAGACUAACUACUGCGAAAGCAUUUGCCAAGGAUGUUUUCAUUGAUAAGGAACGAAAGUUAGGGGAUCGAAAACGAUCAGAUACCGUUGUAGUCUUAACUAUAAACUAUGCCGACUAGGGAUCGGACGAUGUUAUUUAUUGACUCGUUCGGCACCUUUCGAGAAAUCAAAGUGCUUGGGCUCCAGGGGGAGUAUG
This 538-nucleotide ribosomal RNA is filed under the name uncultured Halosphaeriaceae. Its description in RNAcentral is "SSU rRNA". It matches the Rfam family "Eukaryotic small subunit ribosomal RNA", at positions 585 to 1138 of the family's 1831-position model. The record is from RNAcentral. Lineage: Eukaryota; Fungi; Ascomycota; Sordariomycetes; Microascales; Halosphaeriaceae.